Molecule: unclassified non-coding RNA, 557 nt
Filed under: Cladosporium sinuosum
Lineage: Eukaryota; Fungi; Ascomycota; Dothideomycetes; Cladosporiales; Cladosporiaceae
Also listed under: 1 other name
Description: sequence contains 18S rRNA gene, ITS1, 5.8S rRNA gene, ITS2, 28S rRNA gene
Rfam family: 5.8S ribosomal RNA (bases 201-354)
Source: RNAcentral
AGUCGUAACAAGGUCUCCGUAGGUGAACCUGCGGAGGGAUCAUUACAAGAACGCCCGGGCUUCGGCCUGGUUAUUCAUAACCCUUUGUUGUCCGACUCUGUUGCCUCCGGGGCGACCCUGCCUUCGGGCGGGGGCUCCGGGUGGACACUUCAAACUCUUGCGUAACUUUGCAGUCUGAGUAAACUUAAUUAAUAAAUUAAAACUUUUAACAACGGAUCUCUUGGUUCUGGCAUCGAUGAAGAACGCAGCGAAAUGCGAUAAGUAAUGUGAAUUGCAGAAUUCAGUGAAUCAUCGAAUCUUUGAACGCACAUUGCGCCCCCUGGUAUUCCGGGGGGCAUGCCUGUUCGAGCGUCAUUUCACCACUCAAGCCUCGCUUGGUAUUGGGCAACGCGGUCCGCCGCGUGCCUCAAAUCGUCCGGCUGGGUCUUCUGUCCCCUAAGCGUUGUGGAAACUAUUCGCUAAAGGGUGUUCGGGAGGCUACGCCGUAAAACAACCCCAUUUCUAAGGUUGACCUCGGAUCAGGUAGGGAUACCCGCUGAACUUAAGCAUAUCAAUAA